Molecule: ribosomal RNA, 253 nt
Filed under: uncultured bacterium
Lineage: Bacteria
Description: partial 16S ribosomal RNA
Rfam family: Bacterial small subunit ribosomal RNA
Source: RNAcentral
UACAGAGGUGGCAAGCGUUGUUCGGAAUUACUGGGCGUAAAGGGCGCGUAGGCGGCCUUCUAAGUCAGACGUGAAAUCCCCCGGCUUAACCUGGGAACUGCGUCUGAUACUGGGAGGCUUGAGUAUGGGAGAGGGAUGUAGAAUUCCAGGUGUAGCGGUGAAAUGCGUAGAUAUCUGGAGGAAUACCGGUGGCGAAGGCGGCUCUCUGGGACGGUACUGACGCUGAGACGCGAAGGCUAGGGGAGCGAACGGG